ACGGAAGGCAGCAGUGGGGAAUAUUGGGCAAUGGGCGAAAGCCUGACCCAGCAACGCCGCGUGAAGGGAGAAGGUCUUCGGAUUGUAAACUUCUUUUAUCAGGGACGAAGGAAGUGACGGUACCUGAUGAAUAAGCCACGGCUAACUACGUACCAGCAGCCGCGGUAAUACGUAGGUGGCAAGCGUUAUCCGGAUUUACUGGGUGUAAAGGGCGCGUAGGCGGGGAUGCAAGUCAGAUGUGAAAUCCAUGGGCUUAACUCAUGAACUGCAUUUGAAACUGCAUCUCUUGAGUGUCGGAGAGGUAGAUGGAAUUCCUAGUGUAGCGGUGAAAUGCGUAGAUAUUAGGAGGAACACCAGUGGCGAAGGCGAUCUACUGGACGAUAACUGACGCUGAGGCGCGAAAGCGUGGGGAGCAAACAGGAUUAGAUACCCUGGUA
Molecule: ribosomal RNA, 437 nt
Filed under: uncultured Oscillospiraceae bacterium
Lineage: Bacteria; Bacillati; Bacillota; Clostridia; Eubacteriales; Oscillospiraceae
Description: bacterial SSU rRNA
Rfam family: Bacterial small subunit ribosomal RNA
Source: RNAcentral